RNAcentral lists this long non-coding RNA (303 nucleotides) under Citrus x clementina. RNAcentral's name for it is "Citrus clementina (C. clementina) long non-coding RNA (CCLE_LNC003611)". Lineage: Eukaryota; Viridiplantae; Streptophyta; Magnoliopsida; Sapindales; Rutaceae. The record is from RNAcentral.
UGGAUUAGACGCGGGUGGUGGUGAACUUGUUGGUGGACUAGACGCUGGUGGUGAUGAACUUGUUGGUGGAUUAGACGCUGGUGGUGAUGGUGGUGGUGAACUUGUUGGUGGUUUAGACACUGGUGGUGGAGGUGGUGAACUUUUUGGUGGAUUAGACACUGGUGGUGGAGGUGAAAUAGUAGGAGGAUUGGAUACUGGUGGUGGAGGAGAUGAGGAAUUGGCAGCUGGUGGGCCGGGAGAGGGUGCACUCAUUGGUGGAACAGGCGCUGGAGGUGAUGGAGACGUAGAAUUGGAGGGUGGUGG